RNAcentral lists this ribosomal RNA (405 nucleotides) under uncultured Bdellovibrio sp. RNAcentral's name for it is "bacterial SSU rRNA". It matches the Rfam family "Bacterial small subunit ribosomal RNA", at positions 355 to 774 of the family's 1533-position model. The record is from RNAcentral. Lineage: Bacteria; Pseudomonadati; Bdellovibrionota; Bdellovibrionia; Bdellovibrionales; Pseudobdellovibrionaceae.
UAGGGAAUAUUGCACAAUGGAGGAAACUCUGAUGCAGCGACGCCGCGUGAGUGAUGAAGGCUUUCGGGUCGUAAAGCUCUGUCGCAGGGGAAUAACACAAUGAAUGUACCCUGUAAGAAAGGAUCGGCUAACUUCGUGCCAGCAGCCGCGGUAAGACGAGGGAUCCUAGCGUUGUUCGGAAUUAUUGGGCGUAAAGCGGAUGUAGGUGGCUUUGUAAGUCAGGUGUGAAAGCCUAGGGCUCAACCCUAGAAGUGCAUCUGAUACUGCGAAGCUUGAGUGUGGGAGAGGAUAGUAGAAUUCCUGGUGUAGUGGUGAAAUACGUAGAUAUCAGGAGGAAUACCGGAGGCGAAGGCGGCUAUCUGGCCCAACACUGACACUGAGAUCCGAAAGCGUGGGGAUCAAACA